GACGUAGGGUGCAAGCGUUGUCCGGAAUUAUUGGGCGUAAAGCGCACGUAGGCGGUCUGUUAUGUCGGUUGUGAAAUCCCUCGGCUCAACUGAGGAAGUGCAUCCGAAACUGGCAGGCUAGAGUACGAAAGAGGGUCGCGGAAUUCCCGGUGUAGAGGUGAAAUUCGUAGAUAUCGGGAGGAACACCGGUGGCGAAGGCGGCGACCUGGGUCGAUACUGACGCUGAGGUGCGAAAGCGUGGGGAGCAAACAGG
Molecule: ribosomal RNA, 253 nt
Filed under: uncultured bacterium
Lineage: Bacteria
Description: partial 16S ribosomal RNA
Rfam family: Bacterial small subunit ribosomal RNA
Source: RNAcentral